This 72-nucleotide transfer RNA is filed under the name Camelus bactrianus (Bactrian camel). It matches the Rfam family "tRNA". Rfam says of the family: Transfer RNA (tRNA) molecules are approximately 80 nucleotides in length. Their secondary structure includes four short double-helical elements and three loops (D, anti-codon, and T loops). Further hydrogen bonds mediate the characteristic L-shaped molecular structure. tRNAs have two regions of fundamental functional importance: the anti-codon, which is responsible for specific mRNA codon recognition, and the 3' end, to which the tRNAs corresponding amino acid is attached (by aminoacyl-tRNA synthetases). tRNAs cope with the degeneracy of the genetic code in two manners: having more than one tRNA (with a specific anti-codon) for a particular amino acid; and 'wobble' base-pairing, i.e. permitting non-standard base-pairing at the 3rd anti-codon position. Lineage: Eukaryota; Metazoa; Chordata; Mammalia; Artiodactyla; Camelidae. The record is from Rfam by way of RNAcentral. RNAcentral also lists the same sequence under 2 other names.
GAGGGUGUAGCUCGGUGGUAGAGCAUAUGCUCCGCAUGCACAAGGUUGUGGGUUCUACCCCCAGCACCUCCA